Molecule: ribosomal RNA, 460 nt
Filed under: uncultured bacterium
Lineage: Bacteria
Description: partial 16S ribosomal RNA
Rfam family: Bacterial small subunit ribosomal RNA
Source: RNAcentral
CCUACGGGUGGCAGCAGUGAGGAAUAUUGGUCAAUGGGCGCGAGCCUGAACCAGCCAAGUAGCUUGAAGGAUGACUGCCCUACGGGUUGUAACCUUCUUUUAUAAAUGACUAAAGUGAGGCACGUGUGCCUUUUUGUAUGUACUUUAUGAAUAAGGAUCGGCUAACUCCGUGCCAGCAGCCGCGGUAAUACGGAGGAUCCGAGCGUUAUCCGGCUUUAUUGGGUUUCAAGGGAGAGUAGAUGGGUUGUUAAGUCAGUUGUGACAGUUUGCGGCUCAACCGUAAAAUUGCAAUUGAUACUGGCAGCCUUGAGUACAGUUGAGGUAGGCGGAAUGCGUGGUGUAGCGGUGAAAUGCUUAGAGAUCACGAAGAACUCCGAUUGCGAAGGCAGCCUACUAAACUGCCACUGACAUUGAUGCUCGAAAGUGUGGGUAUCAAACAGGAUUAGAUACCCCUGUAGUC